UACGUAGGGUGCAAGCGUUAAUCGGAAUUACUGGGCGUAAAGCGUGCGCAGGCGGUCCGUUAAGACAGAUGUGAAAUCCCCGGGCUUAACCUGGGAACUGCAUUGGUGACUGGCAGGCUAGAGUAUGGCAGAGGGGGGUAGAAUUCCACGUGUAGCAGUGAAAUGCGUAGAGAUGUGGAGGAAUACCGAUGGCGAAGGCAGUCCCCUGGGCCAAUACUGACGCUCAUGCACGAAAGCGUGGGGAGCAAACAGG
This 253-nucleotide ribosomal RNA is filed under the name uncultured bacterium. Its description in RNAcentral is "partial 16S ribosomal RNA". It matches the Rfam family "Bacterial small subunit ribosomal RNA", at positions 524 to 776 of the family's 1533-position model. The record is from RNAcentral.